Molecule: long non-coding RNA, 1515 nt
Filed under: Homo sapiens (human)
Lineage: Eukaryota; Metazoa; Chordata; Mammalia; Primates; Hominidae
Description: HSALNT0398495
Source: RNAcentral
GUCGCCCAGGCUGGAGUGCAGUGGCGCAAUCUCGGCUCACUGCAAGCUCCGCCUCCAGGGUUCACGCCAUUCUCCUGCCUCAGCCUCCCGAGUAGCUGGGACUACAGGCGCCUGCCACCAUGCCCUGCUAAUUUUUUUUUUGUAUUUUUAGUAGAGACAGGGUUUCACCGUGUUAGCCAGGACGGUCUCGAUCUCCUCACCUCGUGAUCUGCCUGCCUUGGCCUCCCAAAGUGCUGGGAUUACAGGCGUGAGCCACCGUGCCCGGCUCUUUCCUCCUGCUUUUUUCCUACACUCUCUCCUCCCUCCUCUCCUCCCUCUUUCUCCUGUUUGAUUUCCACCUCUUUUCUCUCCUCUCUCCUCUGAAUCUGCCUCUUCCUCUUCUCACCUCCCUCUUCCUUCCCUGUCUCUCCCCCUUGGGUCUCUCUUCCUUCCCUCUCUCUGGUUUCUCUGUCUCUGCCCUGUCCUUUCCUUUCCCUCCUCUCUGGACCUGUCUCCUCUCCUGGCUCUCUCUCCUUCAAGCUCUCACUCCCACUGGCCUCCCUCCCGGGAGCCCCGUCUCCUCCGUCUCCAGGUGGCCCCUGCAUCCCUGCCUGGUGGGCCUUUGCCUCCCUCUCCUGUUCCUGCCUUGCCUGCUCCCAGGUUUCCAGGUCCUGACCAGGAGGCAGGAGUCCAUACCGAGGCCCAAACAGGCUAGCCCUGAGCAGGGCCCCCAAGCCUGAGGCCCAGGAGUGGACAGACCUUUGUGACACCCAUUCUCUCUUCCUUUUCCAUCUGUCCGGAACUCUGGACACUGCCUGGAGGAAUCAGGCCUGCCGUAGGCCCAGGAAGGCGGAAACAAAGACGACGCUCAGAGACAGGAAGCAACUUGCCUAAAGAUACACAGCACAAAUGAGAAAAUUGGUGCCCAAUGUUUCUGAAGACCAGCAACUGCUAAGACAGAGACUUCGAGGGAACCCGACCUUGCCUGAAGGACCAACAGCGCCCCCUGCAGGACACUUCCCUCCAUUGAGAGAAGCCACAGGCGCCGGCCUGAGGCAUUCUGAGUGCGUGGAAUCCUCUAUUACCACCUCCUGGCAAAGAACGGAGCUGCAACCCAGCUAUAUGAGACACCGAGAAUGAUCUCAACAAAAAGGAACAGUGACCAGAAUGCCUGGGGGAGGAACAGGGGAUACUGGGUGGAAGGAGGGGAGAGGGAGAAGUUGUAAUAUUUUGUAAAAAUGAACAUUUUUACUCCUAAUCAAUAUACAAACAUCAUGCUCAGCAAACUUCUUGGUAUGAAACUUCUGAACUUCACACAUUUUCAAGUCAUUCUAUGGGUGGGUGGAUUGGCUCCCAUGGAAAUGCAACUGGGACUGCACAUGGGAAACAAAGGAAAAUGGAAUUUGGUUCACACAAACCUGUUUGGGAGAUUGCAUUUCCAGGAAAUGGGCCAAAUUGAGUUUGUUUCCUUUGUAACAACAUUGUUGUGCCUUGCUGACUGGAAGGUGGGUACAAAUAAAGGAGGAUGGACUGACA